Molecule: ribosomal RNA, 697 nt
Filed under: uncultured bacterium
Lineage: Bacteria
Description: bacterial SSU rRNA
Rfam family: Bacterial small subunit ribosomal RNA
Source: RNAcentral
UGAGCGGCGGACGGGUUAGUAACGCGUGGGAACGUGCCCAGAUCUAAGGAAUAGCCACUGGAAACGGUGAGUAAUACCUUAUACGCCCUUCGGGGGAAAGAUUUAUCGGAUUUGGAUCGGCCCGCGUUAGAUUAGGUAGUUGGUGGGGUAAUGGCCUACCAAGCCUACGAUCUAUAGCUGGUUUUAGAGGAUGAUCAGCAACACUGGGACUGAGACACGGCCCAGACUCCUACGGGAGGCAGCAGUGGGGAAUCUUAGACAAUGGGGGAAACCCUGAUCUAGCCAUGCCGCGUGAGUGACGAAGGCCCUAGGGUCGUAAAGCUCUUUCGCCAGGGAUGAUAAUGACAGUACCUGGUAAAGAAACCCCGGCUAACUCCGUGCCAGCAGCCGCGGUAAUACGGAGGGGGUUAGCGUUGUUCGGAAUUACUGGGCGUAAAGCGUACGUAGGCGGAUUGGAAAGUUGGGGGUGAAAUCCCAGGGCUCAACCCUGGAACUGCCUCCAAAACUACCAGUCUAGAGUUCGAGAGAGGUGAGUGGAACUCCGAGUGUAGAGGUGAAAUUCGUAGAUAUUCGGAAGAACACCAGUGGCGAAAGCGGCUCACUGGCUCGAUACUGACGCUGAGGUACGAAAGUGUGGGGAGCAAACAGGAUUAGAUACCCUGGUAGUCCACACCGUAAACGAUGAAUGCCAGUCGUC